Molecule: ribosomal RNA, 253 nt
Filed under: uncultured bacterium
Lineage: Bacteria
Description: partial 16S ribosomal RNA
Rfam family: Bacterial small subunit ribosomal RNA
Source: RNAcentral
UACGUAGGGGCCUAGCGUUGUCCGGAAUUAUUGGGCGUAAAGAGCUUGUAGGCGGUUUGUCGCGUCUGCUGUGAAAUUUCGGGGCUCAACCCCGAACUUGCAGUGGGUACGGGCAGACUAGAGUGUGGUAGGGGAGACUGGAAUUCCUGGUGUAGCGGUGAAAUGCGCAGAUAUCAGGAGGAACACCGAUGGCGAAGGCAGGUCUCUGGGCCACUACUGACGCUGAGAAGCGAAAGCAUGGGGAGCGAACAGG